Molecule: ribosomal RNA, 491 nt
Filed under: uncultured bacterium
Lineage: Bacteria
Description: partial 16S ribosomal RNA
Rfam family: Bacterial small subunit ribosomal RNA
Source: RNAcentral
GUGAACGCUGGCGGUAGGCCUAACACAUGUACGUCGAACGGCAGCACAGUAAGAGCUUGCUCUUACGGGUGGCGAGUGGCGGACGGGUGAGGAAUACAUCGGAAUCUACUUUUUCGUGGGGGAUAACGUAGGGAAACUUACGCUAAUACCGCAUACGACCUACGGGUGAAAGCAGGGGAUCUUCGGACCUUGCGCGAUUGAAUGAGCCGAUGUCGGAUUAGCUAGUUGGCGGGGUAAAGGCCCACCAAGGCGACGAUCCGUAGCUGGUCUGAGAGGAUGAUCAGCCACACUGGAACUGAGACACGGUCCAGACUCCUACGGGAGGCAGCAGUGGGGAAUAUUGGACAAUGGGCGCAAGCCUGAUCCAGCCAUACCGCGUGGGUGAAGAAGGCCUUCGGGUUGUAAAGCCCUUUUGUUGGGAAAGAAAAGCAGCAGGUUAAUACCCCGCUGUUCUGACGGUACCCAAAGAAUAAGCACCGGCUAACUUCGUG